RNAcentral lists this ribosomal RNA (497 nucleotides) under uncultured bacterium. RNAcentral's name for it is "partial 16S ribosomal RNA". It matches the Rfam family "Bacterial small subunit ribosomal RNA", at positions 28 to 507 of the family's 1533-position model. The record is from RNAcentral.
GAUGAACGCUGGCGGCGUGCCUAAUACAUGCAAGUCGAGCGAACAGACGAGGAGCUUGCUCCUCUGACGUUAGCGGCGGACGGGGGAGUAACACGUGGAUAACCUACCUAUAAGACUGGGAUAACUUCGGGAAACCGGAGCUAAUACCGGAUAAUAUAUUGAACCGCAUGGUUCAAUAGUGAAAGACGGUUUUGCUGUCACUUAUAGAUGGAUCCGCGCCGCAUUAGCUAGUUGGUAAGGUAACGGCUUACCAAGGCAACGAUGCGUAGCCGACCUGAGAGGGUGAUCGGCCACACUGGAACUGAGACACGGUCCAGACUCCUACGGGAGGCAGCAGUAGGGAAUCUUCCGCAAUGGGCGAAAGCCUGACGGAGCAACGCCGCGUGAGUGAUGAAGGUCUUCGGAUCGUAAAACUCUGUUAUUAGGGAAGAACAAAUGUGUAAGUAACUAUGCACGUCUUGACGGUACCUAAUCAGAAAGCCACGGCUAACUACGUG